Molecule: long non-coding RNA, 930 nt
Organism: Cebus imitator (Panamanian white-faced capuchin)
Lineage: Eukaryota; Metazoa; Chordata; Mammalia; Primates; Cebidae
Exons: 3
Source: RefSeq, a predicted model, not a curated record
UGUUCUGUCUUUGUUUUGAAGGUUUGGCUUGAGCAACAAGUUUGAUACUGAAUUUCCCUCCGUUCUAACAGGGAAGGUGGCCCCAGAAGAAUUUAAGACCAGCAUUGGCCGUGUGAAUGCAUGUUUGAAAAAGGCUCUCCCAGUCAAUGUGAAAUGGCUGCUAUGUGGUUGUCUCUGCUGCUGUUGCACACUGGGUUGCAGCCUAUGGCCUGUUAUUUGUCUCAACAAAAGAUUCCUCUGGCAGCUCUCCUUAAAGACCUCUGCAAGACAAAGUAAGAAAUGACUUCUUUGGGGGCCAAGAGCUCACAGAGCACUUCCCGCUGCUUCUUCGACCCCUACAUUUUGCUCGGCUCUAAAAUCAUCUCAGUUCCAGGUAAGGUCAAAUCCUUCUCCCAUGAUCUGGACCCUGAGGUUCCCCAGUGAGGGUAUGUGUUCAGUGGUAGAUGAUCCCCCUUUCAAACUUUCACAUUUUGGGCACUCACAGGUUUUGGGAUGUCUCCUGGGGCGUGCAGGAGCAAUUUGCUUUCUUCAAAGGGUCUAUGGAUUCUCUUAGCUUUCCUUGUAUAUUCAUGCAGUAGUUUUGGAGCAAGAGUUCAUAAUGUGAAUCUCCACACACUGCUCUAUCCUGAGUAGGAGCUACAACUUAGUCCUGCCUCCUAUCUGCGAUUUUCAUUUCCUCUCCUCAGGCACUCUAUUUCUUUUGAUUGGAGAUUUUAGUCCACUUAUAUUCAAUGUUAUUAUUGCUUGAUUUAUUUCUUUCAUUUUCUUGUUUCCUGCUGUUUUGUUGUCUUCUCUUCCCUCCUUUCCUUUCUAUCUUCCUUUCAAUGAAAGUGAUUUUCCCUGGUGCUGUCUUUUAAUUUCUUGCUUUUUUGGGUUAUCUGUUGUAUAUAUUUUUUUUUAUUUUUGUUUUUUGGUUUUUUUUUUAUUUGA